GCUGGGCACAGUGGUGCACACCUGUAAUCCCAGCUACUUGGGAGGCUGAGGCAGGAGGAUCACAAAUUUGAGGCCAGUCUGGGCAACUUAGUGAGACCCUUUCUCAA
This 107-nucleotide small RNA is filed under the name Marmota monax (woodchuck). Lineage: Eukaryota; Metazoa; Chordata; Mammalia; Rodentia; Sciuridae. The record is from RNAcentral.